CCUACGGUGGGCAGCAGUGGUGAAUAUUGGACAAUGGGCGAAAGCCUGAUCCAGCCAUGCCGCGUGUGUGAAGAAGGCCUUCGGGUUGUAAAGCACUUUCAGUGGGGAAGAAAGCCUUGGGGCUAAUACCCUCGAGGAAGGACAUCACCCACAGAAGAAGCACCGGCUAACUCCGUGCCAGCAGCCGCGGUAAUACGGAGGGUGCGAGCGUUAAUCGGAAUUACUGGGCGUAAAGCGCGCGUAGGCGGUCUGAUAAGCCGGUUGUGAAAGCCCCGGGCUCAACCUGGGAACGGCAUCCGGAACUGUCAGGCUAGAGUGCAGGAGAGGAAGGUAGAAUUCCCGGUGUAGCGGUGAAAUGCGUAGAGAUCGGGAGGAAUACCAGUGGCGAAGGCGGCCUUCUGGACUGACACUGACGCUGAGGUGCGAAAGCGUGGGUAGCAAACAGGAUUAGAUACCCGUGUAGUC
This 465-nucleotide ribosomal RNA is filed under the name Vreelandella stevensii. RNAcentral describes it as "partial 16S ribosomal RNA". It matches the Rfam family "Bacterial small subunit ribosomal RNA", at positions 338 to 795 of the family's 1533-position model. Lineage: Bacteria; Pseudomonadati; Pseudomonadota; Gammaproteobacteria; Oceanospirillales; Halomonadaceae. The record is from RNAcentral.